GCGCCCCGCCCGCCUCCCCUCCACUCCCUCCAGCUCCGUGCUCCCCACCCCCUGCACUCCCUCUCCUCCCCUCCCCUCCCCUCCCUCCGGCGCAGACCCUCCCCUCUCCCCUCCAGCCCGGACACGCCCGCCUCCCCUUGACUCCCCCCAGCUCUGGGCCCCCACUUCCCCUCCCCUCCAUCACAGUCACCCCCAUUUCUCUGCUAUCCUCCAUCCUGGUCCCUCCCUUCCCCCUAUCUCCCUUCCCCUCCAACACUGUGCCCCGCCAACGUUUUCUAACUGCCCUCUAUUCAGAUCCCCCCUCCGCCUCCCCUCUCCUCCCCUCCAUUCCCGUGUCCCCCUUCCCCCGCCGCGCCGCCUGGGCUGUCCGUGGGCUUGUCUCUCUCUCUCUCCUCAUUUAUUUGGAACGGUUGGAUAAGAAGUGCUCGGGCUCUCGCUCAGACUGAGGGAGCUGCCUCGAGGUGAUAUUUGAAUGACACCCCCUGGCACCAGCUACCCUUCUUAGACCCCCGUCCAGCCCGCUCCCGACGUCGACUGCGAUUCCGCUACCUCGGCGGGCAGCGAGGUUGGGGUGAGCCCCAGCUGCAGGCGCGUCUGGGCGGCGCCGCUGCAAACGAGUUGCGCACCUCGGGCGGCUCCGCACCUGCACCCGCACCCGCGGGGCUGAGCCCCGAAGGCUGCGGCUUCGGGGGAAGUGCGGUCGCCGAGGUCCAGCUGGUGGGGCGAGCGACGUCGCCCCUCGGAGGAUGCUCUCGGAACUUGGGAGAGGAAGGAGGGAAGAGAAGAGGGGAAAGGGGCCGUCGAUGUUUUUGCUGUCUGUGCUUUAAUGGAGCCCACCAGUAUUGAGAAGACGGGGUUGGCCGAGGCAGCCGCACGCUCUGCUCGCGAGCGCUCCAGUCAAAGCUGGGGCCAACCACGGCGUGUCCGGGUGCCCUGCGGGGCGGACACUUGGCUUAGCACCGGGACACAGAGUAGCCACCGGGGUUGGGAGAUGCGUUCACUUUGCUUACCUGUUGGCAAGAGGACAUACAAAAAUAACGUAAUGUGACAUCGUUGACAACGGUAGCUCUUUGAUUAGACAAAAGCCAAUUUUACCUUCCCGCAAAAGCCAGUUAACGCCGUUGGAACUUUUAUUUGCGGCAUUUUGGCGCCCUCUGGCUGUGUUUGGAUCGCUUUCAUGCUCGCCUUGCGUCCCAGCCAAGAAAAAAUCGAUUGAGUUGCAGGUUGUCCUCAAGAUGGUUCUGCCCUCAUGACCUGGGCGCGAAUUCAGGGACAGGGUCGCCCUCCAGAACCGGAGUGACAAACUGUAGCCAUACUUAGGGAGGCAGACGUCAAAGGCAAGUACAUCUGCACUCAGCCGGGGAAAGGUAAGUGU
Macaca mulatta (Rhesus monkey) is the source of this 1375-nucleotide non-coding RNA. The record is from RefSeq and is a predicted model, not a curated record. Lineage: Eukaryota; Metazoa; Chordata; Mammalia; Primates; Cercopithecidae.